This 253-nucleotide ribosomal RNA is filed under the name uncultured bacterium. RNAcentral's name for it is "partial 16S ribosomal RNA". It matches the Rfam family "Bacterial small subunit ribosomal RNA", at positions 524 to 776 of the family's 1533-position model. The record is from RNAcentral.
UACGAAGGGGGCUAGCGUUGUUCGGAAUCACUGGGCGUAAAGGGCGCGUAGGCGGCUUGACAAGUCAGGUGUGAAAGCCCCGGGCUCAACCCGGGAAUUGCACUUGAUACUGUCUGGCUAGAGUUCGGGAGAGGAUGGCGGAAUUCCCAGUGUAGAGGUGAAAUUCGUAGAUAUUGGGAAGAACACCGGUGGCGAAGGCGGCCAUCUGGACCGAAACUGACGCUGAGGCGCGAAAGCGUGGGGAGCAAACAGG